CACGUAGGCGGACUCUUAAGUCGGUGGUGAAAUCCUGGAGCUCAACUCCAGAACUGCCUUCGAUACUGGGAGUCUCGAGUUCGGGAGAGGUGAGUGGAACUGCGAGUGUAGAGGUGAAAUUCGUAGAUAUUCGCAAGAACACCAGUGGCGAAGGCGGCUCACUGGCCCGAUACUGACGCUGAGGUGCGAAGGCGUGGGGAGCAAACA
RNAcentral lists this ribosomal RNA (207 nucleotides) under uncultured bacterium. RNAcentral describes it as "partial 16S ribosomal RNA". It matches the Rfam family "Bacterial small subunit ribosomal RNA", at positions 568 to 774 of the family's 1533-position model. The record is from RNAcentral.